AUCUUUUAUUAAUUUCUGCCAAAUUUAGAUUUGUUUGAAUGUACCUAUAUUGAUUUAUGUAGAAAAUGUUGAAUAAAAAAAGAGAAAGGAAGAAAAAGUAAGUGAAGUACGAGAAAAACGAGAAAAAGUGAGUCAAAUUUUCUACCAAUCCUUCCAAAAUGAAAAAACCUAGUUUCAUGAAAUUGAGAACCGAAGUUGCACCCCUUCUUAGUAGCGACCGCGGAAAUAUUACGCCGGCUACGUUCUGCAUUGGAGAGGUAAAAGGCACAUUUUGUUUGUUCUGAAAUGGUUAAAAGACGCGACUUUUCGAACCCCGCAACGGCGGGCGGCGGAGAAACUUUUGGAAGUGUUGUUAAGCGACGCAGAUGAUGGAAGAAACAGGAUGAUCCAGAAAAUGAACCGAGGGGAAAGAGGUUCAAAAUAGGGAGAAGAAAAUAACAUCAUUACAUGGAGUUUUCUCCAUUACGUGUACUUUGCAAAAGUUAUUGUAAAAAAUUAAUGCUUCUGAUGCAAAAAUUGUGCUUUCUCAAGCAAAUAAUCUUGCGUUCAAUGCAUUGAAAUUUAGUUCAACAAAA
Long non-coding RNA from Salvia splendens (bonfire salvia), 575 nucleotides. RefSeq lists it as uncharacterized. The transcript is spliced from 2 exons. The record is from RefSeq and is a predicted model, not a curated record. Lineage: Eukaryota; Viridiplantae; Streptophyta; Magnoliopsida; Lamiales; Lamiaceae.